AGCGAACGCUGGCGGCAGGCUUAACACAUGCAAGUCGAGCGGGCAUCCUUGUGGUGUCAGCGGCAGACGGGUGAGUAACGCGUGGGAACGUGCCCUUCGGUUCGGAAUAACUCAGGGAAACUUGAGCUAAUACCGGAUACGUGCGAGAGCAGAAAGGUUUAUCUGCCGAAGGAUCGGCCCGCGUCUGAUUAGCUAGUUGGUGAGGUUAUGGCUCACCAAGGCGACGAUCAGUAGCUGGUCUGAGAGGAUGAUCAGCCACACUGGGACUGAGACACGGCCCAGACUCCUACGGGAGGCAGCAGUGGGGAAUAUUGGACAAUGGGGGCAAUCCUGAUCCAGCCAUGCCGCGUGAGUGAUGACGGCCUUAGGGUUGUAAAGCUCUUUUCUGCGGGACGAUAAUGACGGUACCGGAGGAAUAAGCCCCGGCUAACUUCGUG
This 437-nucleotide ribosomal RNA is filed under the name uncultured bacterium. Its description in RNAcentral is "partial 16S ribosomal RNA". It matches the Rfam family "Bacterial small subunit ribosomal RNA", at positions 29 to 507 of the family's 1533-position model. The record is from RNAcentral.